This 499-nucleotide ribosomal RNA is filed under the name uncultured bacterium. RNAcentral describes it as "bacterial SSU rRNA". It matches the Rfam family "Bacterial small subunit ribosomal RNA", at positions 19 to 518 of the family's 1533-position model. The record is from RNAcentral.
AUGGCUCAGGAUGAACGCUGGCGGCGUGUUUAACACAUGCAAGUCGAGCGAGAAGCUUCUCAGUAGAUUCUCGGAUGAUACAGAGUUGCGGAAAGCGGCGGACGGGUGAGUAACGCGUAGGCAACCUGCCCCCUGCAGAGGGAUAGCCUCGGGAAACCGGGAUUAAAACCUCAUAAUGCGGCACCGAGACAUCUCGGAGCCGCCAAAGAUUUAUCGGCAGGGGAUGGGCCUGCGUCUGAUUAGUUAGUUGGUGGGGUAACGGCCUACCAAGGCGACGAUCAGUAGCCGACCUGAGAGGGUGAUCGGCCACAUUGGAACUGAGACACGGUCCAAACUCCUACGGGAGGCAGCAGUGGAGAAUCUUGCACAAUGGGCGAAAGCCUGAUGCAGCAACGCCGCGUGAAGGAUGAAGGCCCUUGGGUCGUAAACUUCUGUUCUAAGGGAAGAUAAUGACGGUACCUUAGGAGCAAGUCCCGGCUAACUACGUGCCAGCAGCCGC